RNAcentral lists this ribosomal RNA (404 nucleotides) under uncultured bacterium. RNAcentral describes it as "bacterial SSU rRNA". It matches the Rfam family "Bacterial small subunit ribosomal RNA", at positions 355 to 776 of the family's 1533-position model. The record is from RNAcentral.
UGGGGAAUAUUGCACAAUGGGGGAAACCCUGAUGCAGCGACGCCGCGUGAAGGAAGAAGUAUUUCGGUAUGUAAACUUCUAUCAGCAGGGAAGAAAAUGACGGUACCUGAGUAAGAAGCCCCGGCUAACCACGUGCCAGCAGCCGCGGUAAUACGUAUGGUGCAAGCGUUAUCCGGAUUUACUGGGUGUAAAGGGAGCGCAGGCGGUACGGCAAGUCUGAUGUGAAAGCCCGGGGCUCAACCCCGGUACUGCAUUGGAAACUGUCGGACUAGAGUGUCGGAGGGGUAAGUGGAAUUCCUAGUGUAGCGGUGAAAUGCGUAGAUAUUAGGAGGAACACCAGUGGCGAAGGCGGCUUACUGGACGGAAACUGACGUUGAGGCUCGAAAGCGUGGGGAGCAAACAGG